This 1480-nucleotide ribosomal RNA is filed under the name uncultured Bordetella sp. Its description in RNAcentral is "partial 16S-23S ribosomal RNA intergenic spacer". It matches the Rfam family "Bacterial small subunit ribosomal RNA". Lineage: Bacteria; Pseudomonadati; Pseudomonadota; Betaproteobacteria; Burkholderiales; Alcaligenaceae. The record is from RNAcentral.
GGUUCGAUUCUGGCUCAGAUUGAACGCUGGCGGGAUGCUUUACAUGCAAGAAGUCGAACGGCGGCACGGACUUCGGUCUGGUGGCGAGUGGCGAACGGGUGAGUAAUGUAUCGGAACGUGCCUAGUAGCGGGGGAUAACUACGCGAAAGCGUAGCUAUUACCGCAUACGCCCUUCGAGAAAGCGGGGACCUUCGGGCCUCGCACUAUUAGAGCGGCCGAUAUCGGAUUGGCUAGUUGGUGGGGUAACGGCUCACCAAGGCGACGAUCCGUAGCUGGUUUGAGAGGACGACCAGCCACACUGGGACUGAGACACGGCCCAGACUCCUACGGGAGGCAGCAGUGGGGAAUUUUGGACAAUGGGGGAAACCCUGAUCCAGCCAUCCCGCGUGUGCGAUGAAGGCCUUCGGGUUGUAAAGCACUUUUGGCAGGAAAGAAACGGCACGGGAUAAUACCCCGUGCAACUGACGGUACCUGCAGAAUAAGCACCGGCUAACUACGUACCAGCAGCCGCGGUAAUACGUAGGGUGCAAGCGUUAAUCGGAAUUACUAUGAGGCGUAAAGCGUGCGCAGGCGGUUCGGAAGAAAGAUCUUGAAAUCCCAGGAAGCAACUUUGGGCACAUUUUUAACUACCGAGCUAGAGUGUGUCAGAGGAAGUGGAAUUCCGCGUGUAGCAAUUAAGUACGUGGAAGAUAUGCGGAGGAACACCGAUGGCGAAGGCAGCCUCCUGGGAUAACACUGACGCUCAUGCACGAAAGCAUGGGAGCAAGCGGAUUAGAUGCCCUGGUAGUCCACGCCCUAAACGAUGUCCAACUAGCUGUUGGGGCCGGGCCUUGGUAAGCUAACGCGUAAGUUGACCGCCUGGGAAAUACGGUCAUAAAGAUUAAAACUCAAGGAAUUGACGGGGACCCGCACAAGCGGUGGAUGAUGUGGAUUAAUUCGAUGCAACGCGAAAAACCUUACCUACCUUGACAUGUCUGGAAUCCCGAAGAGAUUUGGGAGUGCUCGCAAGAGAACAACCGGAGAACACAGGUGCUGCAUGGCUGUCGUCAGUAGUGUCGUGAGAUGUUGGGUUAAGUCACAACAGGCGCAACCCUUGUCAUUGAAUUUUGCUACGAGGAGCACUCUAAUGAGACUGCCGGUGACAAACCGGGGAAGGUGGGGAUGACGUCAAGUCCUCAUGGCCUGCUCGGUAGGGCUUCACGUCAUACAAUGGUCGGGACAGAGGGUCGCCAACCCGCGAGGGGGCAAAUCCAGGAAACCCGAUCGUAGUCCGGAUCGCAGUCUGCAACUCGACUGCGUGAAGUCGGAAUCGCCUAGUAAUCGCAGCAGAUCAGCAUGUCGCGGUGAAUACGUUCCGGGUCUUGUACACACCGCCCGUCACACCAUGGGAGUGGGUUUUACCAGAAGUAGUUAGCCUAACCGUAAGGAGGCGAUUACCACGGUAGGAUUCAUGACUGGGGUGAAAUUCGUAACAAGGUAA